Molecule: long non-coding RNA, 318 nt
Filed under: Ananas comosus (pineapple)
Lineage: Eukaryota; Viridiplantae; Streptophyta; Magnoliopsida; Poales; Bromeliaceae
Description: long non-coding RNA (ACOM_LNC025337)
Source: RNAcentral
GAAGCUUCUUUUUGUGAUUAGAAUAAUUAUAAGGAGUCCGCCUGGGAUACUAUCGAUUAUAUUAAGGAUUUGAUGCUAUCGAGUUUUCUACCGUUAGAUUUAAUCAUUUGAUUAUUUUUAUCCGUUAAAUUAUAUUAUUCAAUCAACCACUCACUCAACCCUAGAGUGUCUACAUCAUCCUAACCACACAUUUUUCAAUCCAAAGGAUAAAAAAUUAAUAGCACCAAUAGCUUGGUGCUAUUGAUAGUAUUUCAGUCUAGUUCUAAUUAUGAGUAUUUACGAGCUUUUUAAGAUUCUAUUAUUGAGGAAUGAGGAUGG